AUACGAUUGGCUAGCAGGUUGGGCUGAGCUCCUGUGGUCCAUUCAACAGGAGCAGAUGUUAAGCUGUGCUCUCAGUCCAUCAGCGUCAGGCUGAGGGAGCUGUCACCCAGAUGUCAACUGCUAAGCGAGACAAACAACACAUCCCAGAAUCCCCCAGAAGUCACAGCCUCUGAGACGUGAGGGGUACAAGACACAUUCUUCAGUAUCAGCUGGCCAUUGCACUCUCCCCAAACUCUCUUCAAUUAUACCACACAGUGAAGCUGCAUUGUGAGGGUCCAGUAAUGUAAUCCCCCUAAAUCAAAAUGCAAAUCAGGCCUAUUCUCAAUCCUUUAUGCUCCCUUCUUUUUUGAAGAUGGCUAGCCGGCGAACGCUGUGAUGGUGUUUUUGUGCUUUGUGUGGGAAGAAACCUUACUUUUACUGUUUAUGGCAAGACACAAAACAGGUCAUAAACUCUACAAGUUCACUCCCUAUGCCACACAGUUGUCAGUAUGGAAAAAACAUAAUUCUAGUGCAUCGUCUGGAUGUAUGGUAAUAUGAUUAUUGAUAAUAGCACAUGUAAAAAGUAUAUAAUGUUACGGUAUUGGAAUGUUUGCCAUAGAAUGUAGUAUAGGACAUAAUAUCACAUUUUAUGCUGUCACAAAGCGAUUAAGAUCAAUAAACCAAUAAUUUACUGCAGUUAACAUUCCAAUGCCAAGAUAAACAAGAUGUUGUUGUCCGCCAUACAGCUCCAAACUUCUUCAGAGUGAGAGGCUAUAGAUAAGGUGAGAGAUAUCAAAGCAGCUAACAAUAGAGAGGUGGAUGGGUGAUGUACCUGUGGGUGAAUAACACACAUGAAUAGGUUCCUUAUGGGUAGUGUCUUGUCUCAACGCUAAUUGCUGUUAAAGUAUCAGAUCCCAUUUUAUGGUUAUCAAGUAUCUUUGAUGUUGGAUAAAAGUUUUCUAACUAAAACUCAAUGGAAGUAUUGUGCAUGAUCUGAACAUAAAACCCCUCUGGUCUUAUGUUCUGCAACCUAAACUUACAUGAACAUGUAUGCACUCACUAACUGUAAGUCGCUCUGGAUAAGAGCGUCUGCUAAAUGACUAACAUGUAAAUGUAAAUACCAACAUGCUAGUGUGUGACUUAUUUAGCCAACUUAGAAAGAAUACUUUUAAUGGUCUUGGACACUCUUCAUACAAUGAAUAAGAAGUGCAUUGUGCCAUAACAGACUUUGUCUUCAUUAUAACCGUGAGGUUCUCAUUAGACUCCCUAAAUAAUUACGGAACCUUCUAAUAGCACCGCUGUGCAUUUAUACGAUACAUUGAAAAUAUUGAAUAGCCAUGGUUAGUCCUCUGGUUUUGAUUUAUCCAAUCAUAAUCAAACACAUAAAACAGAGAACAUCCUCCCAGGCUUCCAGGAUGGAGGCAGUAAUGUAUACUGCUGUUAUGUCUCAAAUCCAACACCUGACACUGGAUACCUACUGUAUGCAGGUACAAUGUGUAUACUAAACACUGGUUGGUUUACAGUGUGUGUGGUAUCUAGGAAACCAUACAGUAAGGAGUUUAGUUUAGCUAUAAUCCGUCUUUAUAGGAAAACUACUAGAACCACCAAAGUAGCCGACUGUAUGUGGUGGAAAAUCAGAGCGUCAUAAGAACAUGGUCAAUCUGGUCAAUAUUUAAGCCAACAGUGGACUCUUACUUCAUGAUGUUAGAAACAAAAGCAAAUGUGUAAACACCUCAAGUAGUUUCUCCUUUUGAGUUAGUGCACUCAGUAUGCUGUGUAUACUUAUGCUUUAGUGGCUGCAUGCAUGCUGUGCUUGGCUUGUAUGUUGUUGUCAUGGUUCCUGUAUACAAUGUUCAAUGGCUCUGAAUGUCAAAUAUAAAUCCUACUGUAAGGCAGCCAAAUCAGAGAAAUGGAUGAUUGUAGUGAGUGUCAGGAUGCUUGGAGCCUUGCUUAUUGGUCUGGAAAGUCAGUUUGGCACUGACAUUUUUUUCUCCCUCUUGUUUAAAACACAAACAAACAUCCCCCCGAGCAAUGCAGUGUCCCAUGACCAUGACUUGAUUGACACCUGCGCCCUAUUUUGGGUUCAUCGACUAUGGAGUCACUGAACCUUCAAAUAUUGGAGUUCUGAUAGUGUGAUAGUUCUCUUGUUCUCUCUCUCUCUCUGUGUCUGUCUGUCUGUCUGUCUGUGAGAAGCACUUUCUCUGGUUUGAGAGUCCCCUGUAGUGCUCCUUGACUAACAAAUUAAUGUUUUCAGACAGGAGAAAUUGUAAUAGGUGCUUUACCCACUAGUUCAUCCCAAAAUCACAGUAAUAAAGUGGGAGAGAAUCAA
Molecule: long non-coding RNA, 2308 nt
Organism: Coregonus clupeaformis (lake whitefish)
Lineage: Eukaryota; Metazoa; Chordata; Actinopteri; Salmoniformes; Salmonidae
Exons: 2
Source: RefSeq, a predicted model, not a curated record